UUCCGGUUGAUCCUGCCGGAGGCCACUGCUAUGGGGGUCCGACUAAGCCAUGCGAGUCAUGGGGCGCCUUGCGCGCACCGGCGGACGGCUCAGUAACACGUCGGUAACCUACCCUCGGGAGGGGGAUAACCCCGGGAAACUGGGGCUAAUCCCCCAUAGGCUGAGGUACUGGAAGGUCCUCAGGCCGAAAGGGGCUCUGCCCGCCCGAGGAUGGGCCGGCGGCCGAUUAGGUAGUUGGUGGGGUAACGGCCCACCAAGCCGAAGAUCGGUACGGGCCAUGAGAGUGGGAGCCCGGAGAUGGACACUGAGACACGGGUCCAGGCCCUACGGGGCGCAGCAGGCGCGAAACCUCCGCAAUGCGGGCAACCGCGACGGGGGGACCCCCAGUGCCGUGGCAUCGCCACGGCUUUUCCGGAGUGUAAAAAGCUCCGGGAAUAAGGGCUGGGCAAGGCCGGUGGCAGCCGCCGCGGUAAUACCGGCGGCCCGAGUGGUGGCCGCUAUUAUUGGGCCUAAAGCGUCCGUAGCCGGGCCCGUAAGUCCCUGGCGAAAUCCCACGGCUCAACCGUGGGGCUUGCUGGGGAUACUGCGGGCCUUGGGACCGGGAGAGGCCGGGGGUACCCCUGGGGUAGGGGUGAAAUCCUAUAAUCCCAGGGGGACCGCCAGUGGCGAAGGCGCCCGGCUGGAACGGGUCCGACGGUGAGGGACGAAGGCCAGGGGAGCGAACCGGAUUAGAUACCCGGGUAGUCCUGGCUGUAAAGGAUGCGGGCUAGGUGUCGGGCGAGCUUCGAGCUCGCCCGGUGCCGAAGGGAAGCCGUUAAGCCCGCCGCCUGGGGAGUACGGCCGCAAGGCUGAAACUUAAAGGAAUUGGCGGGGGAGCACUACAAGGGGUGGAGCGUGCGGUUUAAUUGGAUUCAACGCCGGAA
Molecule: ribosomal RNA, 923 nt
Filed under: uncultured archaeon
Lineage: Archaea
Description: bacterial SSU rRNA
Rfam family: Archaeal small subunit ribosomal RNA
Source: RNAcentral